GGGGAAUUUUGGACAAUGGGGGCAACCCUGAUCCAGCCAUCCCGCGUGUGCGAUGAAGGCCUUCGGGUUGUAAAGCACUUUUGGCAGGGAAGAAACAGCCUGGGCUAAUAUCCCGGGCGACUGACGGUACCUGCAGAAUAAGCACCGGCUAACUACGUGCCAGCAGCCGCGGUAAUACGUAGGGUGCAAGCGUUAAUCGGAAUUACUGGGCGUAAAGCGUGCGCAGGCGGUUCGGAAAGAAAGGUGUGAAAUCCCAGGGCUUAACCUUGGAACUGCACUUUUAACUACCGGGCUAGAGUACGUCAGAGGGGGGUAGAAUUCCACGUGUAGCAGGGAAAUGCGUAGAGAUGUGGAGGAAUACCGAUGGCGAAGGCAGCCCCCUGGGAUGAUACUGACGCUCAUGCACGAAAGCGUGGGGAGCAAACA
Molecule: ribosomal RNA, 426 nt
Filed under: uncultured bacterium
Lineage: Bacteria
Description: bacterial SSU rRNA
Rfam family: Bacterial small subunit ribosomal RNA
Source: RNAcentral